This 316-nucleotide ribosomal RNA is filed under the name Clostridioides difficile. RNAcentral's name for it is "bacterial LSU rRNA". It matches the Rfam family "Bacterial large subunit ribosomal RNA", at positions 1 to 316 of the family's 2925-position model. The record is from RNAcentral. Lineage: Bacteria; Bacillati; Bacillota; Clostridia; Peptostreptococcales; Peptostreptococcaceae.
UGGUCAAGUUAUUAAGGGUGCAGGGCGGAUGCCUUGGCACUAGGAGCCGAUGAAGGACGUGAUAAGCUGCGAUAAGCUUCGGGGAGUUGCACGUAAACUUUGAACCGAAGAUUUCCGAAUGAGGAAACUCACUUAGAGUAAUGUCUAAGUAUCAUUAAGUGAAUACAUAGCUUAAUGAGGGGAACUCAGGGAACUGAAACAUCUAAGUACCUGAAGGAAGAGAAAGAAAUUCGAUUCCGUAAGUAGCGGCGAGCGAACGCGGAUUAGCCCAAACCAAUAAAGUUUUCUUUAUUGGGGUUGCGGACAUAUCAUAACG